GGGCGCAAGCCUGAUGCAGCCAUGCCGCGUGUAUGAAGAAGGCCUUCGGGUUGUAAAGUACUUUCAGCGGGGAGGAAGGUGUUGUGGUUAAUAACCACAGCAAUUGACGUUACCCGCAGAAGAAGCACCGGCUAACUCCGUGCCAGCAGCCGCGGUAAU
RNAcentral lists this ribosomal RNA (159 nucleotides) under uncultured bacterium. RNAcentral describes it as "partial 16S ribosomal RNA". It matches the Rfam family "Bacterial small subunit ribosomal RNA", at positions 373 to 524 of the family's 1533-position model. The record is from RNAcentral.